This 360-nucleotide transfer RNA is filed under the name uncultured Microcystis sp. Its description in RNAcentral is "partial 16S-23S ribosomal RNA intergenic spacer". The stretch from base 133 to 206 matches the Rfam family "tRNA". Lineage: Bacteria; Bacillati; Cyanobacteriota; Cyanophyceae; Chroococcales; Microcystaceae. The record is from RNAcentral.
AAGGGAGACCUAAUUCCGGUAGGAGACGAAAAAAAAGUAGUCCCAACCAAGAAUCAAUCCCAAAAGGUCGGAACGAGGUAUGAGGCUUUCAAACUAGGUUCUGGGUUCACACAAGACCUGAAUCAGGAACAAGGGCUAUUAGCUCAGGUGGUUAGAGCGCACCCCUGAUAAGGGUGAGGUCCCUGGUUCGAGUCCAGGAUGGCCCACCUGCACAGGUGGCAAAAACAAGAGAAGCGAGGAAUCAGCACCUUAUCUUAUCUAUAUAUAUAUAGGAGAGAAUGCUGGCUCUGAGUAAAGAGUCCAGAGGAACCUUGAAAACUGCAUAGAGCUAGGUGAAAAAGCCAAAAAAGAAGACCGCAA